RNAcentral lists this ribosomal RNA (481 nucleotides) under uncultured bacterium. RNAcentral's name for it is "partial 16S ribosomal RNA". It matches the Rfam family "Bacterial small subunit ribosomal RNA", at positions 28 to 523 of the family's 1533-position model. The record is from RNAcentral.
GACGAACGCUGGCGGCGUGCUUAACACAUGCAAGUCGAACGAUGAAGGAGAGCUUGCUCUCCGGAUUAGUGGCGAACGGGUGAGUAACACGUGACUAACCUGUCCCUUUCUCUGGGAUAACGCUCCGAAAGGCGUGCUAAUACCGGAUACGAACUCUGAACACAUGUUCGGAGUUGGAAAGUUCUUCGGAAAGGGAUGGAGUCGCGGCCUAUCGGCUUGUUGGUGAGGUAACGGCUCACCAAGGCGACGACGGGUAGCCGGCCUGAGAGGGCGACCGGCCACACUGGGACUGAGACACGGCCCAGACUCCUACGGGAGGCAGCAGUGGGGAAUGUUGCACAAUGGGCGAAAGCCUGAUGCAGCGACGCCGCGUGAGGGAUGAAGGUCUUCGGAUUGUAAACCUCUUUCAGUAGGGACGAAGCGAAAGUGACGGUACCUAAAGAAGAAGCACCGGCUAACUACGUGCCAGCAGCCGCCGCCG